GACAACCUACGGGGCGCAGCAGUGGGGAAUAUUGCACAAUGGGGGGAACCCUGAUGCAGCGACGCCGCGUGGGUGAAGGAGUAUUUCGGUAUGUAAAGCCCUAUCAGCAGGGAAGAACAAUGACGGUACCUGACUAAGAAGCACCGGCUAAAUACGUGCCAGCAGCCGCGGUAAUACGUAUGGUGCAAGCGUUAUCCGGAUUUACUGGGUGUAAAGGGAGCGCAGGCGGCGCGUUAAGCCUGGUGUGAACGCCCGCGGCCCACCCGCGUGACUGCAUUGGUAACUGGCGCGCUGGAGUGCCGGAG
RNAcentral lists this ribosomal RNA (305 nucleotides) under uncultured bacterium. RNAcentral's name for it is "bacterial SSU rRNA". It matches the Rfam family "Bacterial small subunit ribosomal RNA", at positions 333 to 654 of the family's 1533-position model. The record is from RNAcentral.